This 850-nucleotide ribosomal RNA is filed under the name uncultured bacterium. RNAcentral's name for it is "bacterial SSU rRNA". It matches the Rfam family "Bacterial small subunit ribosomal RNA", at positions 47 to 897 of the family's 1533-position model. The record is from RNAcentral.
CGCGCUAUCUGCAGUCGAGGGGCAGCACAGGUAGCAAUACUGGGUGGCGACCGGCAAACGGGUGCGGAACACGUACGCAACCUUCCUCCAAGUGGGGCAUAGCCCGAAGAAAUUCGGAUUAAUACCCCGUAAUAUUGUUGAGUGGCAUCACUUGACAAUUAAAGAACUUCGCUUGGAGAUGGGCGUGCGCCUGAUUAGGUAGUUGGUGAGGUAACGGCUCACCAAGCCGACGAUCAGUAACUGGCGUGAGAGCGCGACCAGUCACACGGGCACUGAGACACGGGCCCGACUCCUACGGGAGGCAGCAGUAAGGAAUAUUGGUCAAUGGACGCAAGUCUGAACCAGCCAUGCCGCGUGGAGGAUGAAGGUCCUCUGGAUUGUAAACUUCUUUUAUCUGGGAAGAAACCACUUUUUUCUAAGGGUGUUGACGGUACCAGAUGAAUAAGCACCGGCUAACUCCGUGCCAGCAGCCGCGGUAAUACGGAGGGUGCAAGCGUUAUCCGGAUUCACUGGGUUUAAAGGGUGCGUAGGCGGGACUGUAAGUCCGUGGUGAAAUCUCCGAGCUUAACUCGGAAACUGCCGUGGAUACUAUAGUCCUUGAAUGUUGUGGAGGUUAGCGGAAUAUGUCAUGUAGCGGUGAAAUGCAUAGAUAUGACAUAGAACACCAAUUGCGAAGGCAGCUGGCUACACAAAUAUUGACGCUGAGGCACGAAAGCGUGGGGAUCAAACAGGAUUAGAUACCCUGGUAGUCCACGCCCUAAACGAUGAUUACUCGACAUUUGCGAUAUACAGUAAGUGUCUGAGCGAAAGCAUUAAGUAAUCCACCUGGGAAGUACGACCGCAAGGUUGA